Molecule: ribosomal RNA, 429 nt
Filed under: Acidobacteriota bacterium
Lineage: Bacteria; Pseudomonadati; Acidobacteriota
Description: Acidobacteria bacterium partial 16S ribosomal RNA
Rfam family: Bacterial small subunit ribosomal RNA
Source: RNAcentral
UGGGGAAUUUUGGACAAUGGGGGAAACCCUGAUCCAGCCAUCCCGCGUGUGCGAUGAAGGCCUUCGGGUUGUAAAGCACUUUUGGCAGGAAAGAAACGUCAUGGGUUAAUACCCCGUGAAACUGACGGUACCUGCAGAAUAAGCACCGGCUAACUACGUGCCAGCAGCCGCGGUAAUACGUAGGGUGCAAGCGUUAAUCGGAAUUACUGGGCGUAAAGCGUGCGCAGGCGGUUCGGAAAGAAAGAUGUGAAAUCCCAGAGCUCAACUUUGGAAAUGCAUUUUUAACUACCGGGCUAGAGUGUGUCAGAGGGAGGUGGAAUUCCGCGUGUAGCAGUGAAAUGCGUAGAUAUGCGGAGGAACACCGAUGGCGAAGGCAGCCUCCUGGGAUAACACAGUCGAUCAUGUAAGAAAGCGUGGGGAGCAAACAGG